AUACGUAGGUGGCAAGCGUUGUCCGGAAUUAUUGGGCGUAAAGCGCAUGUAGGCGGUUUGGUAAGUCGGUCGUGAAAAUGCGGGGCUUAACGCCGUAUGGCGAUCGAAAAUGGUGAAAUUGUGCGCAGGAGUGGGAAGGGGAAAUCCCAGUGUAGCGGGGAAAUGCGUAGAUAUUGGGAAGAACACCGGUGGCGAAGGCGCCUGUCUGGACUGUUUCUGACGCUCAGAUGCGAAAGCCAGGGUAGCGAACGGGAUUAGAUACCCCGGUAGUCCUGGCCGUAAACGAUGGGUACUAGGUGUGGGAGGUAUCGACUCCUUCCGUGCCGGAGUUAACGCAAUAAGUACCCCGCCUGGGGAGUACGGCCGCAAGGCUAAAACUCAAAUGAAUUGACGGGG
This 396-nucleotide ribosomal RNA is filed under the name uncultured bacterium. RNAcentral's name for it is "partial 16S ribosomal RNA". It matches the Rfam family "Bacterial small subunit ribosomal RNA", at positions 523 to 918 of the family's 1533-position model. The record is from RNAcentral.